UGAAGCGGCAACAGCUCAAAUUUGAAAUCUGGUCCCCAGGGCCCGAGUUGUAAUUUGUAGAGGAUGCUUUUGGCAAGGUGCCUUCCGAGUUCCCUGGAACGGGACGCCAUAGAGGGUGAGAGCCCCGUCUGGUCGGACACCGAGCCUCUGUAAAGCUCCUUCGACGAGUCGAGUAGUUUGGGAAUGCUGCUCAAAAUGGGAGGUAUAUGUCUUCUAAAGCUAAAUAUAGGCCAGAGACCGAUAGCGCACAAGUAGAGUGAUCGAAAGAUGAAAAGCACUUUGAAAAGAGGGUUAAAAAGUACGUGAAAUUGUUGAAAGGGAAGCGCCUAUGACCAGACUUGAGCCCGGUGAAUCAUCCAGCGUUCUCGCUGGUGCACUUUGCCGGGCACAGGCCAGCAUCAGUUUGGCGCGGGGGAUAAAGGCUUUGGGAAUGUGGCUCCCUCGGGAGUGUUAUAGCCCAUUGCGCAAUACCCUGCGCCGGACUGAGGUACGCGCAUUCGCAAGGAUGCUGGCGUAAUGGUCAUCAGCGACCCGUCUUGAAACACGGACCAAGGAGUCGUCUUCGUAUGCGAGUGUUCGGGUGUUAAACCCCUACGCGUAAUGAAAGUGAACGCAGGUGAGAGCUUCGGCGCAUCAUCGACCGAUCCUGAUGUUCUCGGAUGGAUUUGAGUAAGAGCAUACGGGGCCGGACCCGAAAGAAGGUGAACUAUGCCUGUAUAGGGUGAAGCCAGAGGAAACUCUGGUGGAGGCUCGCAGCGGUUCUGACGUGCGAAUCGAUCGUCAAAUAUGGGCAUGGGGGCGAAAGACUAAUCGAACCUUCUAGUAGCUGGUUUCCGCCGAAGUUUCCCUCAGGAUAGCAGUGUUGAACUCAGUUUUAUGAGGUAAAGCGAAUGAUUAGGGACUCGGGGGCGCUAUAUUGCCUUCAUCCAUUCUCAAACUUUAAAUAUGUAAGAAGCUCUUGUUGCUUAAUUGAACGUGAGCAUUCGAAUGUAUCAACACUAGUGGGCCAUUUUUGGUAAGCAGAACUGGCGAUGCGGGAUGAACCGAACGCGAGGUUAAGGUGCCGGAGUGGACGCUCAUCAGACACCACAAAAGGUGUUAGUACAUCUUGACAGCAGGACGGUGGCCAUGGAAGUCGGAAUCCGCUAAGGACUGUGUAACAACUCACCUGCCGAAUGUACUAGCCCUGAAAAUGGAUGGCGCUCAAGCGUCCCACCCAUACCUCGCCCUCAGGGUAGAAACGAAGCCCUGAGGAGUAGGCGGACGUGGAGGUCAGUGACGAAGCC
This 1286-nucleotide ribosomal RNA is filed under the name Zarea fungicola. RNAcentral describes it as "partial large subunit ribosomal RNA". It matches the Rfam family "Eukaryotic large subunit ribosomal RNA", at positions 94 to 1410 of the family's 3401-position model. RNAcentral also lists the same sequence under 1 other name. Lineage: Eukaryota; Fungi; Ascomycota; Sordariomycetes; Hypocreales; Cordycipitaceae. The record is from RNAcentral.